UACGUAGGGCGCAAGCGUUGUCCGGAAUUAUUGGGCGUAAAGAGCGCGUAGGCGGUCCGGUAAGUCCGCUCUGAAAGUCCGGGGCUCAACCCCGGGAGGCGGGCGGAUACUGUCGGGCUAGAGUCCGGAAGAGGCGAGUGGAAUUCCUGGUGUAGCGGUGAAAUGCGCAGAUAUCAGGAGGAACACCGACGGCGCAGGCAGCGUCCUGGCCGCUUGCUGACACUGAGGCACGAAAGCUGGGGGAGCAAACAGG
RNAcentral lists this ribosomal RNA (253 nucleotides) under uncultured bacterium. RNAcentral describes it as "partial 16S ribosomal RNA". It matches the Rfam family "Bacterial small subunit ribosomal RNA", at positions 524 to 776 of the family's 1533-position model. The record is from RNAcentral.